UGCGCAGGCGGAACGGUAAGUCAGUGGUGAAAGCCUACAGCUCAACUGUAGAAUUGCCAUUGAUACUGUCGUUCUUGAGUAUAGUUGGAGUGUGCGGAAUGUAUCAUGUAGCGGUGAAAUGCAUAGAUAUGAUACAGAACACCAAUCGCGAAGGCAGCUCACUAAACUAUAACUGAAGCUCAGGCACGAAAGCGUGGGGAUCAAACAGGAUUAGAUACCCUGGUAGUCC
Molecule: ribosomal RNA, 229 nt
Filed under: uncultured bacterium
Lineage: Bacteria
Description: partial 16S ribosomal RNA
Rfam family: Bacterial small subunit ribosomal RNA
Source: RNAcentral